This 287-nucleotide ribosomal RNA is filed under the name uncultured bacterium. Its description in RNAcentral is "partial 16S ribosomal RNA". It matches the Rfam family "Bacterial small subunit ribosomal RNA", at positions 773 to 1060 of the family's 1533-position model. The record is from RNAcentral.
GUGGAUUAGAUACCCUGGUAUUCCACGCCGUAAACGAUGAAUGCUAGCCGUUGGAUAGCUUGCUAUUCAGUGGCGCAGCUAACGCAUUAAGCAUUCCGCCUGGGGAGUACGGCCGCAAGGUUGAAACUCAAAGGAAUUGACGGGGGCCCGCACAAGCGGUGGAGCAUGUGGUUUAAUUCGACGCAACGCGCAGAACCUUACCAGGGUUUGACAUCCUGAGACCGCCCUCUAAUAGGGGUUUUCCCGCAAGGGACUCAGAGACAGGUGCUGCAUGGCCGUCGCCAACU